This 445-nucleotide long non-coding RNA is filed under the name Gallus gallus (chicken). RNAcentral describes it as "long non-coding RNA NONGGAT012098". The record is from RNAcentral. Lineage: Eukaryota; Metazoa; Chordata; Aves; Galliformes; Phasianidae.
UGUAGGCUUCCUGGAGCGGCGCUGAGGGCCCCUUGGAGCGCUGGGUCUUAUUUCCAAACGUGUGGGGGUGGUGUAUACGGCCAGUCCUUUAUUCCAACCCUCUGGAUGUAUUCCUGCUUUAAUACGUAAUCUGGAGCGGUAAAGCCGGUCCCCGUCAGUACACAGAACAGCGCUGUGUCUCAGGGCCUUCAGGCCAUCAUUCCUGGACACCUGCUCGUCCUUGGACAGAGAUAAGUUUGGAAGGAUGGAGGGAAGUAUCUCUUGCAUCCCUCUUGAUCCAGGAGAGUUGAGACAGUUUGGCCUCAUGUGGAAGCCCUGGCUUCUCUGAUCCGUGGUAAGUCUGUUGUUCUUUUGCUAAGAGCUUCUUGACAAAACAGAAUAGCCUUUCAAUACACUUUUUAGUCUACAAUACAAAAGCUGCAGCCUUUGUACCUGUUAAUCACUU